AUUGAACGCUGGCGGCAUGCCUUACACAUGCAAGUCGAACGGCAGCAUGAUCUAGCUUGCUAGAUUGAUGGCGAGUGGCGAACGGGUGAGUAAUACAUCGGAACGUGCCCUGUAGUGGGGGAUAACUAGUCGAAAGAUUAGCUAAUACCGCAUACGACCUGGGGGUGAAAGUGGGGGACCGCAAGGCCUCAUGCUAUAGGAGCGGCCGAUGUCUGAUUAGCUAGUUGGUGAGGUAAAGGCUCACCAAGGCGCCGAUCAGUAGCUGGUCUGAGAGGACGAUCAGCCACACUGGGACUGAGACACGGCCCAGACUCCUACGGGAGGCAGCAGUGGGGAAUUUUGGACAAUGGGCGAAAGCCUGAUCCAGCAAUGCCGCGUGUGUGAAGAAGGCCUUCGGGUUGUAAAGCACUUUUGUCCGGAAAGAAAUGGCUCUGGUUAAUACCUGGGGUCGAUGACGGUACCGGAAGAAUAAGGACCGGCUAACUACGUG
This 490-nucleotide ribosomal RNA is filed under the name uncultured bacterium. RNAcentral's name for it is "partial 16S ribosomal RNA". It matches the Rfam family "Bacterial small subunit ribosomal RNA", at positions 30 to 507 of the family's 1533-position model. The record is from RNAcentral.